RNAcentral lists this ribosomal RNA (1195 nucleotides) under uncultured eukaryote. RNAcentral's name for it is "SSU rRNA". It matches the Rfam family "Eukaryotic small subunit ribosomal RNA", at positions 577 to 1804 of the family's 1831-position model. The record is from RNAcentral.
CGGUAAUUCCAGCUCCAAAAGCGUAUAUUAAAGUUGUUGCAGUUAAAAAGCUCGUAGUUGAACCUUGGGCUUGGUUAGCCGGUCCGCCUUUUGGUGAGUACUGGAUCUAACCGAGCCUUUCCUUCUGGGUAACCUUUCUUUCGGGGAAGGCGAACCAGGACUUUUACUUUGAAAAAAUUAGAGUGUUCGAAGCAGGCCUUUGCUCGAAUAUAUUAGCAUGGAAUAAUAGAAUAGGACGUUAUGGUUCUAUUUUGUUGGUUUCUAGGACCAUCGUAAUGAUUAAUAGGGACGGACGGGGGUAUCAGUAUUCAGUUGUCAGAGGUGAAAUUCUUGGAUUUACUGAAGACUAACUACUGCGAAAGCAUUUACCAAGCACGUUUUCAUUAAUCAAGAACGAAAGUUAGGGGAUCGAAGAUGAUCAGAUACCGUCGUAGUCUUAACCAUAAACUAUGCCGACUAGGGAUCGGGUGUUGUUCUUUUAUUGACGCACUCGGCACCUUACGAGAAACCAAAGUCUUUGGGUUCUGGGGGGAGUAUGGUCGCAAGGCUGAAACUUAAAGGAAUUGACGGAAGGGCACCACCAGGAGUGGAGCCUGCGGCUUAAUUUGACUCAACACGGGGAAACUCACCAGGUCCAGACACAAUAAGGAUUGACAGAUUGAGAGCUCUUUCUUGAUUUUGUGGGUGGUGGUGCAUGGCCGUUCUUAGUUGGUGGAGUGAUUUGUCUGCUUAAUUGCGAUAACGAACGAGACCUUAACCUACUAAAUAGUGCUGCUAGCUUUUGCUGGUAUAGUCACUUCUUAGAGGGACUAUCGAUUUCAAGUCGAUGGAAGUUUGAGGCAAUAACAGGUCUGUGAUGCCCUUAGACGUUCUGGGCCGCACGCGCGCUACACUGACGGAGCCAGCGAGUUUAUACCUUGGCCGAGAGGUCUGGGAAAUCUUGUGAAACUCCGUCGUGCUGGGGAUAGAGCAUUGUAAUUAUUGCUCUUCAACGAGGAAUUCCUAGUAAGCGCAAGUCAUCAGCUUGCGUUGAUUACGUCCCUGCCCUUUGUACACACCGCCCGUCGCUACUACCGAUUGAAUGGCUUAGUGAGGCCUCCGGAUUGGCUUAAGAAAGGGGGCAACCUCAUUCUGGAGCUGAAAAGCUGGUCAAACUUGGUCAUUUAGAGGAAGUAAAAGUCGUAACAAGGUAACC